GCGAACGUCUGAAAGCAGGUUUCUCUAGACUACGAAUCAGGAGGUCGCAGGUUCGAGUCCUGCCGAGCGCGCCA
This 74-nucleotide transfer RNA is filed under the name uncultured Rubrobacteraceae bacterium. Its description in RNAcentral is "tRNA-Pseudo-ACG". Lineage: Bacteria; Bacillati; Actinomycetota; Rubrobacteria; Rubrobacterales; Rubrobacteraceae. The record is from RNAcentral.